This 664-nucleotide ribosomal RNA is filed under the name uncultured bacterium. RNAcentral describes it as "bacterial SSU rRNA". It matches the Rfam family "Bacterial small subunit ribosomal RNA", at positions 8 to 718 of the family's 1533-position model. The record is from RNAcentral.
AGAGUUUGAUCCUGGCUCAGAACGAACGCUGGCGGCAGGCUUAACACAUGCAAGUCGAACGCCCUCUUCGGAGGGAGUGGCAGACGGGUGAGUAACGCGUGGGAACCUACCUUUUGGUUCGGAAUAACCCAGGGAAACUUGGGCUAAUACCGGAUGUGUCCUUCGGGAGAAAGAUUUAUCGCCAAAAGAUGGGCCCGCGUCGGAUUAGCUAGUUGGUGGGGUAACGGCCUACCAAGGCGACGAUCCGUAGCUGGUCUGAGAGGAUGAUCAGCCACACUGGGACUGAGACACGGCCCAGACUCCUACGGGAGGCAGCAGUGGGGAAUAUUGGACAAUGGGCGCAAGCCUGAUCCAGCCACGCCGCGUGAGUGAUGAAGGCCUUAGGGUUGUAAAGCUCUUUCGCCGGUGAAUAUAAUGACGGUAACCGGAGAAGAAGCCCCGGCUAACUUCGUGCCAGCAGCCGCGGUAAUACGAAGGGGGCUAGCGUUGUUCGGAAUUACUGGGCGUAAAGCGCACGUAGGCGGAUAUUUAAGUCGGGGGUGAAAUCCCAGGGCUCAACCCUGGAACUGCCUCCGAUACUGGGUAUCUCGAGUCCGAGAGAGGUGAGUGGAAUUCCUAGUGUACAGGUGAAAUUCGUAGACAUUCGGAAGAACACCAGUGGCGA